GUUUAUCCCUUCGGAUGUACAUACACUAAAAUUGGAACAAGACAGAGAAGAUUAGCAUGGCACCUGCGAAAGAAUGACAUGCAAAAUCGUGAAGCAUUCAAUAUUUAU
RNAcentral lists this small nuclear RNA (108 nucleotides) under Rodentolepis nana. The record is from RNAcentral. Lineage: Eukaryota; Metazoa; Platyhelminthes; Cestoda; Cyclophyllidea; Hymenolepididae.